RNAcentral lists this ribosomal RNA (568 nucleotides) under uncultured bacterium. RNAcentral's name for it is "partial 16S ribosomal RNA". It matches the Rfam family "Bacterial small subunit ribosomal RNA", at positions 355 to 918 of the family's 1533-position model. The record is from RNAcentral.
UGGGGAAUUUUGGACAAUGGGCGAAAGCCUGAUCCAGCAAUGCCGCGUGUGAAGAAGGCCUUCGGGUUGUAAAGCACUUUUGUCCGGAAAGAAAUCCUUGGCUCUAAUACAGUCGGGGGAUGACGGUACCGGAAGAAUAAGCACCGGCUAACUACGUGCCAGCAGCCGCGGUAAUACGUAGGGUGCAAGCGUUAAUCGGAAUUACUGGGCGUAAAGCGUGCGCAGGCGGUUUGCUAAGACCGAUGUGAAAUCCCCGGGCUCAACCUGGGAACUGCAUUGGUGACUGGCAGGCUAGAGUAUGGCAGAGGGGGGUAGAAUUCCACGUGUAGCAGUGAAAUGCGUAGAGAUGUGGAGGAAUACCGAUGGCGAAGGCAGCCCCCUGGGCCAAUACUGACGCUCAUGCACGAAAGCGUGGGGAGCAAAACAGGAUUAGAUACCCUGGUAGUCCACGCCCUAAACGAUGUCAACUAGUUGUUGGGAUUCAUUUCCUUAGUAACGUAGCUAACGCGUGAAGUUGACCGCCUGGGGAGUACGGUCGCAAGAUUAAAACUUAAAUGAAUUGACGGGG